UCAUUCGGCUUCGCCAUCAUACGUCCAACCGUGCAUUUGAUAUGCAUAUAUAUGCAUCACGAGCCACGGUUGGGCUGUAUGAUGGCGAUACCGAUUGG
Molecule: microRNA precursor, 98 nt
Filed under: Triticum urartu
Lineage: Eukaryota; Viridiplantae; Streptophyta; Magnoliopsida; Poales; Poaceae
Description: MIR9666 microRNA precursor family
Rfam family: MIR9666 microRNA precursor family
Source: Rfam by way of RNAcentral